GACGAACGCUGGCGGCGUGCCUAAUACAUGCAAGUAGAACGCAGUUGCGAACGGGUGCGUAACUCGUAGGUAACUGCUUCCUAGCGGGGGAUAACUAUUGUAUACGAUAGCUAAUACCGCAUCCUGUGAUAUUCACCUGCGUUUUAUUAGCUAGUUGGUGAGGUAAAGGCUCAACAAGGCGACGAUACAUAGCCGAGCUGAGAGGGUGAAUGGCCAAAAUGGGACUGGGGAACGGGCCAGAAUCCGACGGGGAGGAGCAGGAGGGAAACUUCGGAAAUGGACGGAAGUCUGACCGAGCAAAGCCGGGGGAGUGAAGAAGGUUUGCGGGUCGUAAAGCUAUGUUGUUAGAGAAGCGGUAACUAAACAGAAAGGGACGGCUAACUACGUGCCAGCAGCCGCGGUAAGUC
This 407-nucleotide ribosomal RNA is filed under the name uncultured bacterium. RNAcentral describes it as "partial 16S ribosomal RNA". It matches the Rfam family "Bacterial small subunit ribosomal RNA", at positions 28 to 526 of the family's 1533-position model. The record is from RNAcentral.